AGAGUUUGAUCAUGGCUCAGAACGUACGCUGGCGGCACGCCUAACACAUGCAAGUCGAACGAAGUAGCAAUACUUAGUGGCAGACGGGUGAGUAACAUGUAGGUAUCUGCCCUUUGGCCUGGAAUAACACGAGGAAACUUGUGCUAAUACCGGAUAAGUCUUUACGGAGAAAGCUUUAUGCACCAUUGGAUGAGCCUGCACUUGAUUAGUUUGUUGGUGGGGUAAUGGCCUACCAAGACUGUGAUCAAUAGCUGAUUUGAGAGGAUGAUCAGCCACAUUGGGACUGAGAUACGGCCCAAACUCCUACGGGAGGCAGCAGUGGGGAAUCUUGCACAAUGGAGGAAACUCUGAUGCAGCGAUGCCGCGUGAGUGAAGAAGGCCCUUGGGUUGUAAAGCUCUUUCGUCGGGGAAGAAAAUGACUGUACCCGAAUAAGAAGGUCCGGCUAACUUCGUGCCAGCAGCCGCGGUAAUACGAAGGGACCUAGCGUAGUUCGGAAUUACUGGGCUUAAAGAGUUCGUAGGUGGUUGAAAAAGUUGGUGGUGAAAUCCCAGAGCUUAACUCUGGAACUGCCAUCAAAACUUUUCAGCUAGAGUAUGAUAGAGGAAAGCAGAAUUUCUAGUGUAGAGGUG
Molecule: ribosomal RNA, 630 nt
Filed under: uncultured bacterium
Lineage: Bacteria
Description: bacterial SSU rRNA
Rfam family: Bacterial small subunit ribosomal RNA
Source: RNAcentral